GACGAACGCUGGCGGCGUGCUUAACACAUGCAAGUCGAACGAAGAGCGAUGGAAGCUUGCUUCUAUCAAUCUUAGUGGCGAACGGGUGAGUAACGCGUAAUCAACCUGCCCUUCAGAGGGGGACAACAGUUGGAAACGACUGCUAAUACCGCAUACGAUCUAAUCUCGGCAUCGAGGAUAGAUGAAAGGUGGCCUCUACAUGUAAGCUAUCACUGAAGGAGGGGAUUGCGUCUGAUUAGCUAGUUGGAGGGGUAACGGCCCACCAAGGCGAUGAUCAGUAGCCGGUCUGAGAGGAUGAACGGCCACAUUGGGACUGAGACACGGCCCAGACUCCUACGGGAGGCAGCAGUGGGGAGUCUUCCGCAAUGGACGAAAGUCUGACGGAGCAACGCCGCGUGAGUGAUGACGGCCUUCGGGUUGUAAAGCUCUGUUAAUCGGGACGAAAGGCCUUCUUGCGAAUAGUGAGAAGGAUUGACGGUACCGGAAUAGAAAGCCACGGCUAACUACGUG
RNAcentral lists this ribosomal RNA (510 nucleotides) under uncultured bacterium. RNAcentral's name for it is "partial 16S ribosomal RNA". It matches the Rfam family "Bacterial small subunit ribosomal RNA", at positions 28 to 507 of the family's 1533-position model. The record is from RNAcentral.